This 65-nucleotide transfer RNA is filed under the name Sigalphus bicolor. RNAcentral describes it as "tRNA-Phe". RNAcentral also lists the same sequence under 1 other name. The record is from RNAcentral. Lineage: Eukaryota; Metazoa; Arthropoda; Insecta; Hymenoptera; Braconidae.
AUUUAAAUAGCUUAAUUAAAAGUUUAAUAUUGAAAAUAUUAAGAUAAUUUAAAAAUUUUUAAAUA